Molecule: ribosomal RNA, 526 nt
Filed under: uncultured bacterium
Lineage: Bacteria
Description: partial 16S ribosomal RNA
Rfam family: Bacterial small subunit ribosomal RNA
Source: RNAcentral
UGGGGAAUUUUGGACAAUGGGCGAAAGCCUGAUCCAGCAAUGCCGCGUGUGUGAAGAAGGCCUUCGGGUUGUAAAGCACUUUUGUCCGGAAAGAAGUCCUCUGGGUUAAUACCUCGGGGGGAUGACGGUACCGGAAGAAUAAGCACCGGCUAACUACGUGCCAGCAGCCGCGGUAAUACGUAGGGUGCAAGCGUUAAUCGGAAUUACUGGGCGUAAAGCGUGCGCAGGCGGUUUUGUAAGACGGAUGUGAAAUCCCCGGGCUUAACCUGGGAACUGCAUUCGUGACUGCAAGGCUAGAGUAUGGCAGAGGGGGGUAGAAUUCCACGUGUAGCAGUGAAAUGCGUAGAGAUGUGGAGGAAUACCGAUGGCGAAGGCAGCCCCCUGGGCCAAUACUGACGCUCAUGCACGAAAGCGUGGGGAGCAAACAGGAUUAGAUACCCUGGUAGUCCACGCCCUAAACGAUGUCAACUAGUUGUUGGGGAUUCAUUUCCUUAGUAACGUAGCUAACGCGUGAAGUUGACCGCCU